RNAcentral lists this long non-coding RNA (464 nucleotides) under Amborella trichopoda. RNAcentral's name for it is "long non-coding RNA (ATRI_LNC002296)". The record is from RNAcentral. Lineage: Eukaryota; Viridiplantae; Streptophyta; Magnoliopsida; Amborellales; Amborellaceae.
UUAAUUCUAAAAAUGAUUCAAAUCAAGCAGAUCUAUAAAUGUAUGAAAAUCUUGAAAAUGGACGACCUAGAUAAUGUGUUGCAAGAUGUAUUAUUGUUAGGACUUGAAAUCUCUUUUUUUCUCCAUAUCUAUACAUCUCGAUGUCGAGAUGGUUAAUUAGAUAUUUUUCUAACAUCAAAACAACCGUUUUGAAAGAUUUUAACAUUUACUACUUUAGGGUUCAAUAAAUGCAAAAAUAUUCAAUGUAAUGGAAAUUUAAGAAUUAGGGUUUACAAUUUUGUACUCUAUUUUUCAUUUUUGGUUGUUUUGAAGGGAUUUACAAUAUGUAAACAACCAUCAAAAUAUUGCACGAAAAUAUAAAAAAAUGAAUAUUUAGAUUUUAGAAUUGUUUAACUUUCUGAAUAUUUAUUUAAUUUUGCUUGUUUGGUUUUGGAAACCAUCACUAGUUUCUUUCACAUUAUUAC